This 655-nucleotide unclassified non-coding RNA is filed under the name Hevea brasiliensis (rubber tree). The record is from RNAcentral. Lineage: Eukaryota; Viridiplantae; Streptophyta; Magnoliopsida; Malpighiales; Euphorbiaceae.
AGAAGGAUGUCCUCUAAUUUACACCUGUUAUGUCAUUCAAAUAUGUUGAUCAGAAAUUAGUGGUAGUGAAAGUUUUGGUGAUUAAGUCCAACAAUAUGUACAAUGAUUUUGUUAUAGCCAUUGAUCAUAGUGGGUCUCAUGUGGAUCCCAUCAUAAUCAAUGAUCAAAAUCUUGUAUGGAAAAAUUUUUGGCACAUAUGGAUCAAAAAACUUGCAAAAUGUCUCCUCAAAAGGCAUUUUAAUGCCGGUAACCUUAAAAUAGAGGAUAUGACUUGCCUACAAGAGUAUUGCAUCAAACCAAUGGACGAGUGCCAAGUACUUUGAGUGUUUUACACUUGGCUAAUGAAUGAUUGACACGUACUCGAAUUUUUACAAACUCACCCAUACUUGGCACUCUAAUGGCUUGAUGUAAUACACCAGCAAGAAUUUUCCGAAAAUAGAACCUUCCUACAACGAAAAAAGAAAUGAUGACUGCAAUGACACAGCCCAUGAAAUCAUAAAAUAAAAAUUUUGAACUUUAAUAUUAGGAGAGAAACUUUAAUAUUGGGUUUCUCUCUCAACCAAGAAAUGCAUUGAUACAAGUAGAAAAAUACAGAUGAUGCAAUAAGCUCAAAAUAUAAUAUUAGCUUUGAUUACACAUGUAGCUAAACAAAAGG